UUUGCUUACUACAUCCUCAAAUCUUGAAACUAGUGUUUUUUCUAAUGUUGUUACAUUUGUUCUCGGGAUUUUGAGAGAUGCCAAAAUCCUUUCUAUUUCUCUAUUGUUCUCUUUUUAGGGAUUCCAUGGUGAUUAAUCUCUCUUUCAUUUUUGGUCAAUCCAGAAGAGUAUGAGGUUGUGGACAUAGAGGAACUUUCUCCUGGAUCAUCACAAAUUUGGGUCCUGUCUCCAGCAACCCAAGGAUUUUUAGAGGGAAGAAAGAGAGGGACAAACUUGCUUGGUUCAUUAUUGUUGAUAUAAUUUCUGGGGUCAGGUCAUUUAUAUAUUCUUGCCUAAGCAACCCAGACCCUGGUUCAGUCCCUUCAUAAUCAGCUGAGUCAGGUAGAAAGGAUUCUGAAUGAUCAGGUAAUUGGGCCUGAGGUAAUCCGGGGACCCUAAAGGAAAGGCCUUUUUUAUGGGCCUGUUGAGAAAGUGCUAUCAACCUCUUUUUCAUAAUUGAGGUCCGCUCGACCCAAUUCGGUUUUGCCUCCGUCUUCGCCGGAGUUUGCCCCUGUCGUCGGAGUUCUGAAUCGGAUCUUGAGGUGAACUCGGCAUACCACGACUAGACUUUUCAUAUUCGAGAAACUUACCUGUCUGGGCAUCAUAUUUCUUUAUUUUGACGCUAUGCUUAGGAGCAUUGUUGGUCGAUCUGGUGACUAGGAAUGACCGAGUGAUUUAUUUUUCUUACCUUUAUUGAAACUCACCGUUUUCCACUCAGAAUUCGGUGACUGGGUGGACUGGUUACUUGCUACGCUGGCUUGUGGAGGGGUUGCUUCUGCACUUGGGGUUGCAUGUGGGCAUCUCAAGGCAAGGUGACCCAAUCUCCCACAUGGUUUACAAAGGAUGCCCUCUCCUUCAAAGACUAUCUCUUGUUUGUGCUUUCCAAUAGUAACUGCGUUGCGCAGUGGUGUUUUCAAAGGCACCUGGACACAAAUGCCUGCAUAUCUCCCUCUCAAUGCUGAAGAAGUGCACAAGUCAACUUUGAUUAAUUUUCCUACUUUGUCCCUAUCCUUUCUAGGAUAAUCUUAUCAUAAAAUUCAGUGGGAAGCUGAGGAAGACUGAGCCAAAUCACCGUAGUCUGGAGUUUGGCCUCGAUGGGAAUAAAAUUUGGUUCCCAAAUUCUUACUGAGAGGAAAGAUCCGACAAUGAACCAUUACCCUCGUGCAGGGCUUUUUGUUGGCUAUCCUCCUUAUCGAAUUUAACCGGAUAAAAAUCAAACCCAAGAUCAAUUAGAGUGAUGGUUUCCUGGAAUUUUCAUAGCUCCGUUAGCUCGGUUCGGAGAAACUGGUGGUUGAAUUUUUGCCCAAACACCUUCACUAUUACAAAGAAUUUCCAAGGUCAUAAAGCCUCAAUUGAUCCGCCUCCGUUAGACUAAUUUCAGCACUUUGGGGACUUAAGGUAUUUUCAAUAACUUCAAUAAAAGGAUCCGAGUAGGAAACUGACUUAGAGUUGGGCAUCCUUUACUACAUCCUUGUGGGAAAGCUGACAUGAAUCGACGAUGGCCAUGUGGCAAUCUUGUUUGUCUGGUGGCUCCGAUGGAGUAGCAGGGUGUGCGUCCUCAGCAGUCAUGGCAGGGUUAACUUUGCUACUAUCUGUAUUCUAAGGGAAUUUUCUAGAUAGAGAGAGGGUCUUUCUCUCACUCUAAGUUUUCCUUAAAUCUAAUACAUUAUGGAAUAUUAUCUCAUAAUGAUGACAGUAUCUUGUGAUAUUA
Molecule: long non-coding RNA, 1750 nt
Organism: Capsicum annuum
Lineage: Eukaryota; Viridiplantae; Streptophyta; Magnoliopsida; Solanales; Solanaceae
Exons: 2
Source: RefSeq, a predicted model, not a curated record